This 700-nucleotide ribosomal RNA is filed under the name Raillietnema sp. ZCRK 016. Its description in RNAcentral is "SSU rRNA". It matches the Rfam family "Eukaryotic small subunit ribosomal RNA", at positions 309 to 1015 of the family's 1831-position model. RNAcentral also lists the same sequence under 9 other names. Lineage: Eukaryota; Metazoa; Nematoda; Chromadorea; Rhabditida; Cosmocercidae. The record is from RNAcentral.
GCCUUAUCAACUUUCGAUGGUAGUUUAUGUGCCUACCAUGGUUGUUACGGGUAACGGAGAAUAAGGGUUCGACUCCGGAGAGGGAGCCUGAGAAACGGCUACCACAUCCAAGGAAGGCAGCAGGCGCGCAAAUUACCCACUCUCGGCAUGAGGAGGUAGUGACGAAAAAUAACGAGACCGUUCUCUAUGAGGCCGGUUAUCGGAAUGGGUACAAUUUAAACCCGUUAACGAGGAUCUAUAAGAGGGCAAGUCUGGUGCCAGCAGCCGCGGUAAUUCCAGCUCUUAAAGUGUAUAUCGUCAUUGCUGCGGUUAAAAAGCUCGUAGUUGGAUCUGCGCCUCAGGACUCGGUCCGCCCACUGGGUGAGAACUGGGCUCCUGGGCUAAUACUGCUGGUUUUCCCUUCGUUGCCUUCAUCGGUCGCGUAGGGUGGCUAGCGAGUUUACUUUGAAAAAAUUAGAGUGCUUCACGCGGGCUAUUGUCUGAAUACUCGUGCAUGGAAUAAUAGAAUAGGAUCUCGGUUCUAUUUUGUUGGUUUUCUGAUCUGAGAUAAUGGUUAAGAGGGACGGACGGGGGCAUUCGUAUCGUUGCGUGAGAGGUGAAAUUCUUGGACCGUAGCGAGACGACCGACUGCGAAAGCAUUUGCCAAGAAUGUCUUCAUUAAUCAAGAACGAAAGUCAGAGGUUCGAAGGCGAUCAGAUAC